UUCAGGUAUCUUGCUUUAUCAUGUGGUCUGGGUCGGCUAAUCUCAUACAUCAAAUCAUCAAUUGAAUCAGCAGUUUUGCAUCCAAUGUUUUACUGUCUCAACUAGCACGUUGUCCUGGGCAAUUAUGGGGGAAACAUCUUUAAUCAACUUUAUAUUAUUGGUUUUCACUUGCGCCGCUUGGCAUAUCUGGAAGCAACGCAAUGGUCUAGUCUUCGAUAAGGUCACCCUUCUGUUAGUCGCUGGUUUAGUUGCUUCAGGCAGGCAUUAAUGUGUCAUUACCCUAGGCUUAAGGAGCCUCUUAGACUUGCUAUUUCUGACUGGCUGAGGUUUGUUGACAAUGUAACUUAACUCCUCGUUGUUUCUGUGUGUACUGUACUGUGCCUUGUGUCCUGGGGGUUCCCUCCCUUUCCUUGUAGUUGUGGAUAUUUGUACAUAUUUUCUUUUAGUAUAAUCACUGUCGGAGCCUCUCCUACAGUUUCUUAAAAAAAACUUU
Brachypodium distachyon (stiff brome) is the source of this 493-nucleotide long non-coding RNA. RefSeq lists it as uncharacterized. NCBI's taxonomy places the organism in Eukaryota, Viridiplantae, Streptophyta, Magnoliopsida, Poales, Poaceae. The transcript is spliced from 2 exons. The record is from RefSeq and is a predicted model, not a curated record.